Molecule: non-coding RNA, 673 nt
Organism: Pelobates cultripes (western spadefoot toad)
Lineage: Eukaryota; Metazoa; Chordata; Amphibia; Anura; Pelobatidae
Source: the annotation of a GenBank genome assembly
CGGCAUUUAAAUACUUUAUUUUCCUAUGCCCUGGCGUUCGGUAGAUUCUCGGAUUUACUUAAUGAACUAAUUUAACCCAGAUAGCUAUGUCAUGGAGCCUAUUCGUGUAAUAAAAGACUUUGGCUCCAUGGCAAUUGAACUAUGUGUGUGUGGUCUGAGCGCCAUUCAGUAAUAAUGUGCGCUCAGACCUAAGCUAUCUGGGGAUAUGUUGCAUGUCUGUAUUGUAUGUAAUAAAUGUAACCUUGUGUAUUUUAUUGUAUUUUACUAUCUUUUUACUGCCAUGUGCUUAAUGGAGUUUUGCCUCUGUUCUUGGAGAUAAUUUGAUUACUUCCCAAUUAUCUCCAGGAUAGAAUACUCUGCGGAACUGGUUUUGGGCAGAAAAGCCAUGCUUCUUUUGUUCACAAAGGACUUCGAUCUAUUUUUUGAACCAAUGGACCAAUUUGGAUGAUUUUGACAUAUGUUUGUAUUUGGAGUAUGCUGAUUCUGAAAAUGUAAGUGAAUGUGAAGUAUACUUUUAAAGUUAUUGAUUAUGUGGAAAAACUGUAUUUCUCUGCCUGUGAUAAUUACAUUAACCCAUUGUGUAAGGUAAUUGUAUUACAGGCAGAGGGGAAGAUUUUGUGUGGGAGUGUCUGAGUGAAUUGUACGUGUUUAUUGGUUGUUUUCCAAAACCCUG